CGGCUGGCGGCGUGCCUAACACAUGCAAGUCAACUUGACUGAAGGAGCAAUCUGACAGUAGAGUGGCGCAAGGGUGCGUAACGCGUAAGUAACUUGCCCCAAGGUAAGGAAUAACGUCGAGAAAUCGGCGCUAAUACCUCAUAAUGCAGCGGAUCCGCAUGGAUAUGUUGUUAAAGGUUUACCGCCUUGGGAUAGGCUUGCGUCUGAUUAGCUAGUUGGUGUGGUAACGGCACACCAAGGCUACGAUCAGUAACUGGUCUGAGAGGAUGAUCAGUCACACUGGAACUGAGACACGGUCCAGACUCCUACGGGAGGCAGCAGUGAGGAAUAUUGGGCAAUGCUCGAAAGAGUGACCCAGCAACGCCGCGUGGAGGAUGAAGGUAUUCUAUAUCGUAAACUCCUGUGAGAGCAGACGAAAGACAGAUUAUUAAUCUGGAUGACUGUAUGCUCAGAGGAAGCCCCGGCUAACUACGUG
This 475-nucleotide ribosomal RNA is filed under the name uncultured bacterium. RNAcentral's name for it is "bacterial SSU rRNA". It matches the Rfam family "Bacterial small subunit ribosomal RNA", at positions 35 to 507 of the family's 1533-position model. The record is from RNAcentral.